GGAGUUGUAACUCAGUGAUAGAGUACUUGCCUAGCAUGUGUGAGGCACUGGGUUCAAUUCUCAGCACCA
Molecule: transfer RNA, 69 nt
Filed under: Marmota monax (woodchuck)
Lineage: Eukaryota; Metazoa; Chordata; Mammalia; Rodentia; Sciuridae
Rfam family: tRNA
About the family: Transfer RNA (tRNA) molecules are approximately 80 nucleotides in length. Their secondary structure includes four short double-helical elements and three loops (D, anti-codon, and T loops). Further hydrogen bonds mediate the characteristic L-shaped molecular structure. tRNAs have two regions of fundamental functional importance: the anti-codon, which is responsible for specific mRNA codon recognition, and the 3' end, to which the tRNAs corresponding amino acid is attached (by aminoacyl-tRNA synthetases). tRNAs cope with the degeneracy of the genetic code in two manners: having more than one tRNA (with a specific anti-codon) for a particular amino acid; and 'wobble' base-pairing, i.e. permitting non-standard base-pairing at the 3rd anti-codon position.
Source: Rfam by way of RNAcentral